Lutzomyia longipalpis is the source of this 1229-nucleotide long non-coding RNA. RefSeq lists it as uncharacterized. The record is from RefSeq and is a predicted model, not a curated record. The transcript is spliced from 2 exons. Lineage: Eukaryota; Metazoa; Arthropoda; Insecta; Diptera; Psychodidae.
GUUGCUGAUGGAAAGGAUUUUGCUGGAAGGGUUGCUGCUGGAAUGCUUGGAAGGCACGAGUUGGGGGUGGUGGUGGUGGUGGUGGCAGUGUAACUGGCUGUGCUUGCCUGUGUGGAGUCGUGGACGUCCCUCCAGGCAGAGGAAGUACCUCUGACAAUCAUGCGGAGAACGGAAGAAACGUGCCUCACCCUGCCCGAGACCCUCAACACGAGCUUCCGGUGGACACGUGAACCCAAGGAAGGCUUCAGCAUCGCAAUCAGGCACCUGAUCGGCCCAAUCGCAGCGAUAUGUUGCAGCAUUGAAUGCUAAUCCUUCGGGACAAUCAAACACAAAUCCCUUCCCAUUGACACAAUUCAUAAACUGCCCACAAUGCGAUGCAUCUCCAAGGCGGUAAUAGCCAAAUUGAUGAGGACAUUCAUCAGUGGAUUGGGCAGCUUGCAGCGAAGUCCUCCCUUGGGGGCAUUCCACGUCAAUUGGAUACGAGCAGGGAUAGGUGAAGACACCUGCCUUUUCGUUGAACAACAACCCAUCGGGGCAGAGCUUCUCCUCACUCACCCCAUCGCGGCACUCAAUGUACGCAUCACACUGCCCUGAGACAGGAUACCUUCCAUUGGCUUCAGGGCACUGAUGUGAGCGCUGUAGUGGCUGCGAUGUCUGCUGCAGUGGCUGCCUGAAGGCUCCAAAAGCAUUAAAUCUCUGUGCCUCAUUGAAUUGUGCCACAACUGCAAAAGAUGAGCCAACAUUGAAAAUACUCUAUAAGUCAGUCAAAAUUAUGUUAAUUAAUUUUUUUUUUUUGUAAUUUCGUGUCUUCUAAUACGCAAAGACAAGCAAAAGAUGCUCACCAAGAGACCCUGAAGGUCGUCUGGAAAGCGAAAGUAUUUCCGAGAGACUCUUUUUUUUUGUCUUUGCUGAUUUAUGAUUUUAUUCAUCUUUAGAGAGGAUUUGCUUGAAUUUUGAGAAGAAAAAAUUAACGUGAGAAGAAUAAUUCUUAAAUUAUUUAAUUUUGAAUGAAAAUAAAUUGUUUGAAUAAAAAUAAAUUAUUGAGAAAUCAUUGAAGCGCUCAAAUUUAAUUUAAAAAAAACUUUUAGAACAAAUUAAAGAAAUAAAAGACACGUGCUUUCAAUUUAAUAAAAUCAAUUUUAGAGGAAUCUUUAGUCAGAAAUUGUAGAUAUUUUUAACAUUUUAAUGUAACUGAAAAUCGUUAAAAUAAAAGAAUAUUUAAAAAGAAA